Molecule: non-coding RNA, 239 nt
Filed under: Afipia felis (cat scratch disease bacillus)
Lineage: Bacteria; Pseudomonadati; Pseudomonadota; Alphaproteobacteria; Hyphomicrobiales; Nitrobacteraceae
Source: RNAcentral
GAUUGCGGGCACGGUACAGGUGCCGGCGCAAGCCGGCGUAAUAGGGAAUUCGGUGCCGUCGCGCUGAGGGCAUAUUUCGCACACCUUCUCCGGCGCGGCAAUUCCGAAGCUGCCCCCGCAACUGUCAGCGGUGAGCCGCUGUCCAUCAUGCCACUGAGCACGGCCCAUGCCGGCUUGGGAAGGCGGACAGCAGCGACGAUCCGCGAGCCAGGAGACCUGCCUGCGCCGGUCAUCCAUCC